GAGGAAGGCGUUGUAUAAUAACUGCAGCGAUUGACGUUACUCGCAGAAGAAGCACCGGCUAACUCCGUGCCAGGCCGCGGUAAUACGGAGGGUGCAAGCGUUAAUCGGAAUUACUGGGCGUAAAGCGCACGGGCGGUUUGUUAAGUCAGAUGUGAAAUCCCCGAGCUUAACUUGGGAACUGCAUUUGAAUGGCAAGCUAGAGUCUUGUAGAGGGGGGUAGAAUUCCAGGUGUAGCGGUGAAAUGCGUAGAUCUGGAGGAAUACCGGUGGCGAAGGCGGCCCCCUGGACAAAGACUGACGCUCAGGCGAAAGCGUGGGGAGCAAACAGGAUUAGAUACCCUGGUAGUCCACGCUGUAAACGAAUCGAUUUGGAGGUUGUGGGCUUGACCCGUGGCUCCGGAGCUAACGCGUAAAUCGACCGC
RNAcentral lists this ribosomal RNA (421 nucleotides) under uncultured bacterium. Its description in RNAcentral is "bacterial SSU rRNA". It matches the Rfam family "Bacterial small subunit ribosomal RNA", at positions 441 to 872 of the family's 1533-position model. The record is from RNAcentral.